CCUGCAACAUGCUGCUGUUGCUGGGAGUGGGAAAGAGGUGGCAUCGGCGGUUCAAGACUGAGUUUUCUAUCUCUUCAGUGCCUCUUUCAACAAUGAAGAUCAAACCAGGUACUGAGGUAGUGGGAGUGCUCAUCUAGUUUUUGGCUUUUAGUUUUGUGCAAAUAUCUGCUGAGUGAACUACUUAUUUGAAAAUACAUCAUUGGUUAAUAUUCCCUUUUGCUCAUUGAAAUCUCAAAGACUACAGACCCCGCACAAGACAUUCUGACAUUCCCGUCUUUGAAAUGAAUGACAGCAAUGAUAAAUAUGGCUCACCUCCAGAGAUACAGAUCUCACAACUUCAUAUUUUUAAUAUAAAUUAUUAAUCUGAGGUGUGGUGCAAUUCCAUUAGAUGAAAGAGAUCUACACAUUCAGAAGCACAUGAUUCUUCCCCCUUCCAUGAUUCCAGUGGCCAAUAGGUAAUCAGAACUUCUCUGUUCAGCUAAAAGACAGAAAAAGAGCAUAUGAAAGACGUAUUUUCCCAGAAGUGCUCAUCCUGAUAACUGUGUACAGCACUACUGCUCAUAUUCCAUUGGCCAAUAUUUAGGUAGAUAACUUCACUAACUACAAGGUAUGCUGGGAAAUAAAGUCCAGAUAUGUGU
Molecule: long non-coding RNA, 638 nt
Filed under: Homo sapiens (human)
Lineage: Eukaryota; Metazoa; Chordata; Mammalia; Primates; Hominidae
Description: long intergenic non-protein coding RNA 1192
Source: RNAcentral